This is a small nuclear RNA of Propithecus coquereli (Coquerel's sifaka), 105 nucleotides long. The record is from Ensembl. Lineage: Eukaryota; Metazoa; Chordata; Mammalia; Primates; Indriidae.
GUGCUCGCUCCGGCAGCACGGACACUAAAACUGGAACGACACGGGAAGAUGAGCGUGGCCCCCGCACAAGGAUGGCUGCAAAUCCACGAAGCGUUCCGUAUUUUC